This 930-nucleotide unclassified non-coding RNA is filed under the name Hevea brasiliensis (rubber tree). Lineage: Eukaryota; Viridiplantae; Streptophyta; Magnoliopsida; Malpighiales; Euphorbiaceae. The record is from RNAcentral.
CCCCACUACAACUCCACCUCCACCCCCAAGUCCACUUCCACUCAUACUUUUCAUUGAAGGACCGCCAAGAUUUGGACUUUUAUUACUACUAACAUUGCCAUUACCAAUACCAGUAGCAUUAACAUUACUGCUGUUUAUAUUGUAUCCACCAGAAUAACUCCCAAAAUUAUUAGAUCCCCUAUCAUUACCACUUUUCACUGAAUCACUCGAUUUGGGCAAUGAAUCAGCCAGAUUUCCUAUCGAAAAUGCACUAUUCUUCGAUGUGGGUGUAGCAUUUUUCAAAGGAACAUUGAUAUUACCCUCAUUUCCUUGCCCCAAAGCAGAGCUAACCAGAUCCCCAAACAAAUUUGGGUUCUUCUCCGCGAUCCCAAUCCCAGAACCUGAAGCUGUUGAAUUCCAGCUCUUCCCAAAUAUAUCGCCCACCAUCGAAGUGGGUCCGUUGAGUCCAGGCCGAGUAGGUUGACUCGGUGAGGGUUGGUGAGUCCAGGAGGGUUUGUUGGGUUGCCACGCAGGCUUUGCUUGUGUAGUUGUUGAAGAUGCAUAUGAGAAAUAUGAAGAGGAAGUUUGGUUCUUUUGCUCGUUGAGGGAUUUGGAUCGGUUGGAGCCGAGCCCGAAAUCAAAAUUGAAGUUGUUUAAGGACCCAGAUGAACCUUUCCCAUAGUUGAGAGUUCAUUUUGGCCUGCUAAUUUGAGAGCGAGAAAGCCAAUAUCAGAGAAUCCAAACAAGGCGCAUCGGAGAAAGGAGAAAAGGGUAAUGUGAAAGAGUGGUUUUUGGGUGUCCGAUGGAAGGAAAACCAGAAGGCGAUGUGAAGGCCUCUUCGUAUAAUUUUCUAUUUUCAAUGGAAUCGAAUUUCAGAAUCCUGCUGCCUGCUGCUACAGGAAGGGUUAAUUUUCCUCCCCUUUUACAGUUGCUUUUGGAGAGUCGUUUAUG